GAUGAAGAACGUAGCGAAAUGCGAUACUUGGUGUGAAUUGCAGAAUCCCGUGAACCAUCGAGUCUUUGAACGCAAGUUGCGCCCGAAGCCAUUAGGCCGAGGGCACGCCUGCCUGGGCGUCACACGUCGUUGCCCCCCCAUCUACUCCUUCGGGAUUGCGGGGGGCGGAUGAUGGCCUCCCGUGCGCCUCGCCGCGCGGUUGGCAUAAAUGCCAAGUCCUCGGCGACGCACGCCACGACAAUCGGUGGUUGCGAAACCUCGGUUGCCCGUCGUGUGCGGUCGUCGCGCAUCGAGGGCUCGAAAAAAUUGCCGGGUUCCGGCUCGGCUUUCAACGCGACCCCAGGUCAGGCGGGGUUACCCGCUGAAUUUAAGCAUAUCAUAAGCGGAGGA
This 390-nucleotide unclassified non-coding RNA is filed under the name soil metagenome. RNAcentral describes it as "partial contains 5.8S ribosomal RNA, internal transcribed spacer 2, and large subunit ribosomal RNA". The stretch from base 1 to 122 matches the Rfam family "5.8S ribosomal RNA", at positions 35 to 154 of the family's 154-position model. The record is from RNAcentral.